AGAUAAGAUUUCCCAUACCGAAAGGUAGUAAGACCCCUUGAAGACGACGAGGUAGAUAGGGCAGAGGUGGAAGUGCGGCAACGCAUGGAGCUGACUGUCACUAAUCGGUCGAGGCUUUGACCAA
Molecule: ribosomal RNA, 124 nt
Filed under: Candidatus Anaerostipes avicola
Lineage: Bacteria; Bacillati; Bacillota; Clostridia; Lachnospirales; Lachnospiraceae
Description: partial 23S ribosomal RNA
Rfam family: Bacterial large subunit ribosomal RNA
Source: RNAcentral